This is a long non-coding RNA of Poecilia latipinna (sailfin molly), 657 nucleotides long. RefSeq lists it as uncharacterized. The record is from RefSeq and is a predicted model, not a curated record. NCBI's taxonomy places the organism in Eukaryota, Metazoa, Chordata, Actinopteri, Cyprinodontiformes, Poeciliidae. The transcript is spliced from 2 exons.
AUCUAAAACUGGGUUGCUAGGUAACGGGCUGGGGUUGCUAGGUAACGGUGCAAUGCCCGAUUAUGAAGUAAAUGGUAGUAGAACUUUUUCAUCAAUGUUGAAUUUACUCUAAUCAAGCUGCUAUAUCUUUCUGAAAAGUUACUUAUCAGUUAGUUUCGUCUUAUUUUAAGUUUAGUAAAAUAUUUGCACUGGAAACUAAACCAAAAAUACUUGGCAUGGUUUUGUGUUUUUGCCAUGUUUGAGCCAUUUAACCCUUAAAAGCACUCUUGUUGGCACUGGUAGUUGUUAAUUUCUGCGUAUUGCCUUCACUUGCACCUACAGAAUAAACUGUUCUGGAUGUUUUGCUGAUUUACUGUAAGAGCAGUGUUUUCUAAAAAUGCAUGUUUUUCUGAGAAUGACCGUUGAACUGGCUGUUCCUCUAAAAGUGCCAUCCGUGAUGUGGAGACCGAGAUCCGAGUCUCACUACUUUCUUGUGCUUUGUAAAGUGCAGCAUUUGUACAGUGAGGUUGUAUUUUUGUACACAGUAUGAUUUAUUUUUCCGCUUCCUGCUUCACUCUGGCUCUCGCUCUGUUGUUGUUGCCCACAAACAACUUACGUCUGCUAGCACUGACCGAGAAAAGCGAUAGAAACAAUUAAAGGCUUUAGCUGUUUGAUACA